RNAcentral lists this ribosomal RNA (393 nucleotides) under uncultured bacterium. Its description in RNAcentral is "partial 16S ribosomal RNA". It matches the Rfam family "Bacterial small subunit ribosomal RNA", at positions 523 to 918 of the family's 1533-position model. The record is from RNAcentral.
AUACGGAGGAUCCGAGCGUUAUCCGGAUUUAUUGGGUUUAAAGGGAGCGUAGGUGGAUUGUUAAGUCAGUUGUGAAAGUUUGCGGCUCAACCGUAAAAUUGCAGUUGAAACUGGCAGUCUUGAGUACAGUAGAGGUGGGCGGAAUUCGUGGGGUAGCGGUGAAAUGCUUAGAUAUCACGAAGAACUCCGAUUGCGAAGGCAGCUCACUAGACUGUUACUGACACUGAUGCUCGAAAGUGUGGGUAUCAAACAGGAUUAGAUACCCUGGUAGUCCACACAGUAAACGAUGAAUACUCGCUGUUUGCGAUAUACAGUAAGCGGCCAAGCGAAAGCAUUAAGUAUUCCACCUGGGGAGUACGCCGGCAACGGUGAAACUCAAAGGAAUCGACGGGG